This 78-nucleotide transfer RNA is filed under the name Streptomyces phage StarPlatinum. Its description in RNAcentral is "tRNA-Asp". It matches the Rfam family "tRNA". From Rfam's summary of the family: Transfer RNA (tRNA) molecules are approximately 80 nucleotides in length. Their secondary structure includes four short double-helical elements and three loops (D, anti-codon, and T loops). Lineage: Duplodnaviria; Heunggongvirae; Uroviricota; Caudoviricetes; Stanwilliamsviridae. The record is from RNAcentral. RNAcentral also lists the same sequence under 28 other names.
GGCCUCUGGGACUGCUAGGUUGUGGUCACUGCCCUGUCAAGGCAGACAUCAGGCGGGUUCGAUUCCCGUAGGGGUCGC